RNAcentral lists this ribosomal RNA (253 nucleotides) under uncultured bacterium. RNAcentral describes it as "partial 16S ribosomal RNA". It matches the Rfam family "Bacterial small subunit ribosomal RNA", at positions 524 to 776 of the family's 1533-position model. The record is from RNAcentral.
UACAGGGGGGGCAAGCGUUGUUCGGAAUUACUGGGCGUAAAGAGCUCGUAGGCGGUCUGUCGCGUCGGCUGUGAAAACUCGGGGCUCAACCCCGAGCCUGCAGUCGAUACGGGCAGACUAGAGUGCUGUAGGGGAGACUGGAAUUCCUGGUGUAGCGGUGAAAUGCGCAGAUAUCAGGAGGAACACCGGUGGCGAAGGCGGGUCUCUGGGCAGUAACUGACGCUGAGGAGCGAAAGCGUGGGGAGCGAACAGG